AGAGUUUGAUCCUGGCUCAGGACGAACGCUGGCGGCGUGCCUAAUACAUGCAAGUAGAACGCUGAAGACUUUAGCUUGCUAGAGUUGGAAGAGUUGCGAACGGGUGAGUAACGCGUAGGUAACCUGCCUACUAGCGGGGGAUAACUAUUGGAAACGAUAGCUAAUACCGCAUAACAGUGUUUAACACAUGUUAGAUGCUUGAAAGAUGCAAUUGCAUCACUAGUAGAUGGACCUGCGUUGUAUUAGCUAGUUGGUGGGGUAACGGCCUACCAAGGCGACGAUACAUAGCCGACCUGAGAGGGUGAUCGGCCACACUGGGACUGAGACACGGCCCAGACUCUACGGGAGGCAGCAGUAGGGAAUCUUCGGCAAUGGGGGCAACCCUGACCGAGCAACGCCGCGUGAGUGAAGAAGGUUUUCGGAUCGUAAAGCUCUGUUGUAAGAGAAGAACGUGUGUGAGAGUGGAAAGUUCACACAGUGACGGUAACUUACCAGAAAGGGACGGCUAAUACGUGCCAGCAGCCGCGGUAAU
This 532-nucleotide ribosomal RNA is filed under the name Streptococcus sp. W20. RNAcentral's name for it is "bacterial SSU rRNA". It matches the Rfam family "Bacterial small subunit ribosomal RNA", at positions 8 to 524 of the family's 1533-position model. The record is from RNAcentral. Lineage: Bacteria; Bacillati; Bacillota; Bacilli; Lactobacillales; Streptococcaceae.